Molecule: unclassified non-coding RNA, 212 nt
Filed under: Hevea brasiliensis (rubber tree)
Lineage: Eukaryota; Viridiplantae; Streptophyta; Magnoliopsida; Malpighiales; Euphorbiaceae
Source: RNAcentral
CAUUUUCUGACGAACAAGUCCACCGGAUAAGCAAAUCUCCUCACACCUAACAACGACUACUCUCUGUCCAUUAAGCAAUUCUUUAGCUAAAAUCGAAGAUAAUCUUCCCAGCAUAUGGUGGCGAGCGUCCACCACUAUCCUCUUUGCUGAGAUCCCUGAACCUGACACCAUUUUCUCUCUCUACUCUCUCUCUAGAGCUCUGUCGAAUUGAG